UACGUAGGGUGCGAGCGUUGUCCGGAUUUAUUGGGCGUAAAGGGCUCGUAGGCGGCGUGUCGCGUCGGGAGUGAAAGCCCGUUGCUUAACGGCGGGUUGGCUUUCGGUACGGGCAUGCUGGAGUGCGGCAGGGGAGACUGGAAUUCCUGGUGUAGCGGUGAAAUGCGCAGAUAUCAGGAGGAACACCGAUGGCGAAGGCAGGUCUCUGGGCCACUACUGACGCUGAGAAGCGAAAGCAUGGGGAGCGAACAGG
RNAcentral lists this ribosomal RNA (253 nucleotides) under uncultured bacterium. Its description in RNAcentral is "partial 16S ribosomal RNA". It matches the Rfam family "Bacterial small subunit ribosomal RNA", at positions 524 to 776 of the family's 1533-position model. The record is from RNAcentral.